This 451-nucleotide ribosomal RNA is filed under the name uncultured Planctomyces sp. RNAcentral describes it as "bacterial SSU rRNA". It matches the Rfam family "Bacterial small subunit ribosomal RNA", at positions 29 to 505 of the family's 1533-position model. The record is from RNAcentral. Lineage: Bacteria; Pseudomonadati; Planctomycetota; Planctomycetia; Planctomycetales; Planctomycetaceae.
AAUGAACGUUGGCAGCAUGGAUUAGGCAUGCAAGUCGCGCGACAAGUUUCCCUUCGGGGAGAUGGAGGAGCGGCAAACGGGGUAGUAAGGCAUCGGAACGUACCCUCUUGUCGGGAAUAGUCAUGGGAAACCGUGGGUAAUGCCCGAUGAUCUCUUCGGAGCAAAGGUCCGCCGCAGGAGGAGCGGCCGAUGUGAUACCAGCUAGUUGGUGAGGUAAUGGCUCACCAAGGCUUAGACGUCUAGGGGGUGUGAGAGCAUGGCCCCCACCACUGGGACUGAGACACUGCCCAGACACCUACGGGUGGCUGCAGUCGAGAAUCUUCGGCAAUGGACGCAAGUCUGACCGAGCAAUGCUGCGUGCGGGAUGAAGGCCCUUGGGUUGUAAACCGCUGUCAGGGGGGAUCAAGGCGUAAGCUUGAGAGAGCCCCAGAGGAAGCACGGGCUAAGUUCG